RNAcentral lists this unclassified non-coding RNA (2421 nucleotides) under Hevea brasiliensis (rubber tree). The record is from RNAcentral. Lineage: Eukaryota; Viridiplantae; Streptophyta; Magnoliopsida; Malpighiales; Euphorbiaceae.
UUUUUUUAUUUUAGAUUUUUAUCUGCAUUUUGAUUGGUGGGAGAUGCUUAUUUCAUCAAGUUUUAGUUUUACAUCAUCUCUGCAGAAUUGCAGGCGGUACUUGCAAGAUGACCAGUUUCAGUGUGUGUAUGCACAAAUCAAUAUAAUUGUAUUUUUUUUUUAAAUUGCGGUUGAUAUUAAUUUCGGCAAAAUAUAGUUCUAGAGUUGAAGAUAUGCUAGAUUCAUUGUUUGCUUGAAUAAAAGAAAAAUAUAUCAUCGUAAUCCAGGAAUAAAUAUAGUAGAUUUUAGCAGCCAAAAACAGGUUUCAGGAACUUUUGACUUGCAGUUGAUGUUUGAUUCAUAAAAUGUAGCUCAAUUGUAUCCUUGCAAGUAAAUGCAGGUGGGGGUCAUGGAUUCAACACCUCAUCUCUUUUGAAAUUAAAAACGAAAAAGGUUAUAGAGUUGAAGACAUUCUAAGUCCUUUGGUUUCAAGUCCCAGUAGUUUAUAAUGAUGGUGGGGAAGUUUGAUAAAGUUGUUUAUUGGAGAUAAGCUCAUUAGCAAGCUGGUAACUUAUGUAGUUAAGAUUAAGAUAUAUCAUAUUAUUAAAGAUAAAAGCAAUGUUUUAUAUAGAAUUGUUUUUAUGUUAGUGAAACUUAAAUUUUAAUGUGGUAUAGCUGUGUGAAGUAUGAAUUAUUUAUUGUGUGAGAUGGCUCCAGCUUGUAUUUGGUAUAUCUUUCAGGUUGAUGAGUAAAUGUGACAUUUGGUAGCCCUCUGCUAUAACAUUUAUUGAGAGUCUAUGUUUGAGUGUCUUUCUGUGUUAAAUAAUUAGAAAUCUUUUCACUCCAUCUUUGAAUUUUACUUCUUUUUUGCAGGAGGCAAAGUUUGCACCAUAUAAUUCUUGCAGUUUUACUCAUCAUAAGAAAAGAAGAAAAGCGCAUGUUUCAUUUGCAUCUGGUGCUUGAAAUUGCUUAAUUGAAUCUGAUAUUGUCCCUUCUGGUCAUAUUUGUUUUAUGAAUUAUCGUUUCUCUGAUUCAUGAAACAUGAAGUUUGUUGCACUUGUGAGGUCCAUUUGUGCCCGUUCUACUCUCCAUGAGAUAACUGGGUCUUUGCAGGUUCGCUUUUUCCAGCAUGAUUUUGUUCCCAGAGAUCCCAAGGCCAAGCCCAAAAAAUACAAAUAUCCAGCAUUUUAUGAUCCUUAUGGUCCUAGACCUCCACCCUCUGACAAAAUCAUUCAACUUGCUGAGCGCAUUGCUGCUCUACCUCCUGAGGAGAGACGUCAAAUUGGCCCCACUCUCCAAUACAAGUUAAAGCAUCCAAAACUGCAGACAAUUUCAACAGAAGGCAUGGACUUGGGUCUCCAAGGAGCCCCAGCUGCUGGAGCUACAAAGGUUGAGGAGAAGAAACAGAAAACAACAUUUGAUGUGAAGUUGGAGAAGUUUGAUGCAGCAGCAAAAAUCAAGGUAAUUAAAGAGGUGAGAGGUUUUACUAAUUUGGGGUUGAAGGAGGCCAAAGACCUGGUGGAGAAGGUACCUGUUUUGCUUAAACAAGGGGUCACAAAAGAGGAAGCAAAUGGCAUAAUAGAGAAGAUAAAAGCUGCUGGAGGAGUUGCAGUUAUGGAGUGAUAGCUUAAGCUUUGCUGUACAAUUGGUUCUUUGUUUUGUUUUAGAGGGCUGAGCUAUUGCAUUUAAGAAUGAAUCUCAACCCUCGGGCAUUGACAUCUGUUUGCGCAGAUAGAUAGCAAUUGUUAUCAGAGAUAUGAUUCAAUAAUUAGUUCAUACUAAUUUCACUACUUUCGUGGAAAAAUUUCUGGUUGUUGGUGCACUUUGGUUUUAGCUUUUACAUAAUUGCACACAGGGGAAGCAACUCCAAGCACCAAGCAUGUAAUUGUUGCUUCUCGCUCUUGCAUUUCUACUACUAUUGGAAUAACAGAUUUUUUACCAUAAUUCCUGCCGGCAUGUUUUGACGGUACACAGCAGAAGUGUCAUAAUUGCAACAUGUAUGUUAACACGGGGUUUUCUGAGAGAGAAAUUUUCCAAGUUGAUAUACAUUGCAUUUUAGCUUCAGCUGAAACACGAACUCUCUUUUAACGUCUUCUUCGUUCGAAGUUCUGGCAAUGGUUAGUUUGUUGGUGAUGGUGGCACAAGAGCGCAUUCAAGGUGCCAUCAGGCCGGACGGCAAUAUUAUGUGUAGAGCCGGCUAAAGGGUCUCAGGUGGGCAGGUCUUAGGAGUGCCCAAUCUGGUGCACUUAUUCUAGAAAAGACCUAGAAGGUUCAACCCAACUUUUAUGAAAACCAUACAAUAGCCGCAUUUUUUUAUACUGUGUUUUAUCUGGACCUGUGAAAUAUGUUCUUCAGUAUUAUUUCCCAGCACUUGAUGUAGUGCGGGUAUUUUCUUGCGAAGGCCUUUGAGAUUACAAUGAAAAAAGCUCACAUGGAAUUUUG